RNAcentral lists this microRNA (24 nucleotides) under Equus caballus (horse). Its description in RNAcentral is "eca-miR-9171". Lineage: Eukaryota; Metazoa; Chordata; Mammalia; Perissodactyla; Equidae. The record is from miRBase by way of RNAcentral.
CCUGGCAGCUGUCACCCUUCCUGG